UGGGAAGCUCCCUUGAUUCUCCUAUGGC
Molecule: non-coding RNA, 28 nt
Filed under: Mus musculus (house mouse)
Lineage: Eukaryota; Metazoa; Chordata; Mammalia; Rodentia; Muridae
Source: RNAcentral